RNAcentral lists this transfer RNA (73 nucleotides) under Varanus rosenbergi. RNAcentral's name for it is "tRNA-Leu". It matches the Rfam family "tRNA". Rfam says of the family: Transfer RNA (tRNA) molecules are approximately 80 nucleotides in length. Their secondary structure includes four short double-helical elements and three loops (D, anti-codon, and T loops). Further hydrogen bonds mediate the characteristic L-shaped molecular structure. tRNAs have two regions of fundamental functional importance: the anti-codon, which is responsible for specific mRNA codon recognition, and the 3' end, to which the tRNAs corresponding amino acid is attached (by aminoacyl-tRNA synthetases). tRNAs cope with the degeneracy of the genetic code in two manners: having more than one tRNA (with a specific anti-codon) for a particular amino acid; and 'wobble' base-pairing, i.e. permitting non-standard base-pairing at the 3rd anti-codon position. Lineage: Eukaryota; Metazoa; Chordata; Lepidosauria; Squamata; Varanidae. The record is from RNAcentral.
AUUAGGGUAGCUAGCCUGGCACAUGCAACAGACUUAAAAUCUCACCACGAAGGUUCAAAUCCUUCCCCUAACC